Molecule: ribosomal RNA, 445 nt
Filed under: uncultured bacterium
Lineage: Bacteria
Description: partial 16S ribosomal RNA
Rfam family: Bacterial small subunit ribosomal RNA
Source: RNAcentral
CCUACGGGAGGCAGCAGUGGGGACUAUUGCACAAUGGGCGAAAGCCUGAUGCAGCGACGCCGCGUGAGGGAUGACGGCCUUCGGGUUGUAAACCUCUUUCAGCAGGGAAGAAGCGCAAGUGACGGUACCUGCAGAAGCAGCACCGGCUAACUACGUGCCAGCAGCCGCGGUAAUACGUAGGGUGCGCGCGUUGUCCGGAAUUAUUGGGCGUAAAGAGCUCGUAGGCGGCUUGUCACGUCGGAUGUGAAAGCCCGGGGAUUAACCCCGGUUCUGCAUUCGAUACGGGCAGGCUAGAGUUCGGUAGGGGAGAUCGGAAUUCCUGGUGUAGCGGUGAAAUGCGCAGAUAUCAGGAGGAACACCGGUGGCGAAGGCGGAUCUCUGGGCCGAUACUGACGCUGAGGAGCGAAAGCAUGGGGAGCGAACAGGAUUAGAUACCCUUGUAGUC